AUGGGCCAGCCAGCCCAUACCUGUGACCUGACCCGACCCCUCACCUCACGCGCCGCCGCACGGAAGCUUCCAGAGCCCGCGACCAGAACCCGAAUUCCCCUUCCCCUCUCGCGCGACCACGCCCACGCCCACGGGAUUUCCUCCUCUUCUUCUUCAGCGCCCGCCCUCGUCAGAUCCAUCCGUCCGUCCAUCCGUUUUUCCAUUCCAUCCACCUGCCCCGCCUGCCGCCAUCCCCUUCUCGCUCGCAGGGUUCCGUUGCAGGCGACUCGAUCCGGGUCCAUGGCGUCCACGGCUGCGGCGGCGCUCGCGGUGACGGACGAGCUGGCCCUGCCGCUCCGCGCGGUGGGGGACCUGGCGGCGGCCGCCGGGGUCUCGCGGGAGGAGGUCGUCGUCAUCACGCAGUGCGCCUCGCUCGGUGGGAAGUUGCCUUUUGAUGACACAUCCGUGGGUGCUGUUCUGUCUGUCAUAAAAAAUGUGGAGAGCUUUGGGGAUAAGUUGAUUGCUGAAAUUAGUCGAGUGCUGAAAGCUGGUGGAAUUGUGCUGGUACAGAGUUUCACACCCUCCACUGAUCAGAAGCCAAACAAUUAUAUCGAGCGCCAGCUACUCAUGGGAGGUUUUGUUGAAGUUCAAGCUUCUGCCACAAGCUCUCAGGAUAGCGUGCAAUCUGUUACUAUCAAGGCAAAGAAACCAUCCUGGAGUAUGGGCUCAUCCUUUCCCCUGAAGAAAGCAGUAAAGGCUCUUCCAAAGAUUGAAAUUGAUGACGAUGAUGAACUGAUUGACGAAGACAGCCUCUUGACUGAGGAGGACUUGAAGAAGCCACAGCUUCCAGUUGUAGGAGAUUGUGAGGUGGGAGCCACAAAGAAGGCGUGCAAGAACUGCAGUUGUGGCAGGGCCGAGGCUGAGCAGAAGGUGGAGAAGCUGGGACUCACUGCAGAACAGAUUGAUAACCCUGUCUCAGCUUGUGGCAGUUGUGGGUUGGGCGACGCGUUCCGAUGCAGCACCUGCCCAUACAGAGGCCUGGCGCCGUUCAAGUUGGGCGAGAAGGUUACCUUGUCUGACAACUUCCUCUCGGCCGACAUAUGA
This 1083-nucleotide ribosomal RNA is filed under the name Triticum aestivum (bread wheat). Its description in RNAcentral is "partial small subunit ribosomal RNA". Lineage: Eukaryota; Viridiplantae; Streptophyta; Magnoliopsida; Poales; Poaceae. The record is from RNAcentral.